CUCCUACGGGAGGCAGCAGUAGGGAAUCUUGCGCAAUGCGCGAAAGCGUGACGCAGCAACGCCGCGUGGGGGAAGAAGGCUUCGGGUUGUAAACCCUUUCAGUUGGGACGAAGCUUCACCGGUUAAUAGCCGGUUGGAGUGACGGUACCUUCACAAGAAGCACCGGCUAACUACGUGCCAGCAGCCGCGGUAAUAC
Molecule: ribosomal RNA, 196 nt
Filed under: uncultured bacterium
Lineage: Bacteria
Description: partial 16S ribosomal RNA
Rfam family: Bacterial small subunit ribosomal RNA
Source: RNAcentral